This 1570-nucleotide ribosomal RNA is filed under the name human gut metagenome. Its description in RNAcentral is "bacterial LSU rRNA". It matches the Rfam family "Bacterial large subunit ribosomal RNA", at positions 1364 to 2925 of the family's 2925-position model. The record is from RNAcentral.
GCUAAUCCUCCCAGGGUCAGUCGGGGGCUAAGGCGAGGCCGGAAGGCGUAGCCGACGCGCAGCAGGCAGACAUUCCUGCACCGCGCACGCGGCGCUACGACCGACGGGGCGACGGAUGGGGGUGGCUCGGCGGGGUUCUGGACGUCCCCGUGAUGGAGCGCGGCCCGCGGACCAGGGAAAUCCGGUCCGCACGAGGGCGAGGCUCCGGACGAAGCGAUCAAGCGAAGCGAGUGAGCCCGAGGUCCCUAGAAAAACCCCUAGGCAGGCGCGUGCGCGCCCGUACCGCAAACCGACACAGGUGGGUGGGUAGAACAUACCGAGGCGAUCGGGUCAACCAUGGUCAAGGAACUCGGCACAAUGGCCCCGUAACUUCGGGAGAAGGGGUGCCCGCGCGUACGUGAACGGACUUGCUCCGGGAGCGGAGGCGGGCCGCAGUGGAGAGGCCCAAGCGACUGUUUACCAAAAACACAGGACUCUGCAGAAGCCGCAAGGCGACGUAUAGGGUCUGACGCCUGCCCGGUGCCGGAAGGUCACGCGGAGGAGUUAGCGCAUCGCGCGAAGCCCCGAAGCCAAGCCCCGGUAAACGGCGGCCGUAACUAUAACGGUCCUAAGGUAGCGAAAUUCCUUGUCGGGUAAGUUCCGACCUGCACGAAAGGCGCAACGACUUGGGCGCUGUCUCGACCAUGGACCCGGUGAAAUUGCACUGGUCGUGAAGAUGCGACUUACCCGCGGAAGGACGGAAAGACCCCGUGAACCUUCACUGCAGCUUGGCAUUGGCCGCUGGUCCCGCGUGUAGAGGAUAGGCAGGAGGCACAGAUCCGGAGGCGCCAGCCCCCGGGGAGCCGCCCUUGGAAUACUGCCCUCGCGCGACCGGCGUCCUAACCCGAGGCCGUCAACCGGCUCGGGGACCGUGCCAGGCGGGCAGUUUGACUGGGGCGGUCGCCUCCUAAAGGGUAACGGAGGCGCGCGAAGGUCCGCUCGGGACGGUCGGCAACCGUCCUUUUGAAUGCAAGAGUACAAGCGGGCUUGACUGCGAGGCCCACAAGCCGAGCAGGUGCGAAAGCAGGCUCUAGUGAUCCGGCGGCCCCGAGUGGGUGGGCCGUCGCUCAACGGAUAAAAGGUACUCCGGGGAUAACAGGCUGAUCUUGCCCAAGAGUCCACAUCGACGGCAAGGUUUGGCACCUCGAUGUCGGCUCAUCGCAUCCUGGGGCUGGAGCAGGUCCCAAGGGUACGGCUGUUCGCCGUUUAAAGCGGUACGCGAGCUGGGUUCAGAACGUCGUGAGACAGUUCGGUCCCUAUCCUCCGUGGGCGCAGGAGAAUCGAUGGAGGCUGCCCCCAGUACGAGAGGACCGGGGUGGACGCACCUCCGGUGAACCGGUUGUCGACCAACGGCACGGCCGGGUAGCCGCGUGCGGCGCGGAUAACCGCUGAAGGCAUCUAAGCGGGAAGCCGUUCCAGGGAUUAGUUCUCCUUCCGGUAAGGGCCCAGGUAGACUACCUGGUCGAUAGACGGCAGGUGCAAGGACGGCGACGUCCUCAGCCGAGCCGCACUAAUCGCCCGAGCUCUUCCG